RNAcentral lists this ribosomal RNA (467 nucleotides) under uncultured bacterium. RNAcentral's name for it is "partial 16S ribosomal RNA". It matches the Rfam family "Bacterial small subunit ribosomal RNA", at positions 28 to 506 of the family's 1533-position model. The record is from RNAcentral.
GACGAACGCUGGCGGCGUGCUUAACACAUGCAAGUCGAACGGAAAGGCCCUGCUUUUGUGGGGUGCUCGAGUGGCGAACGGGUGAGUAACACGUGAGUAACCUGCCCUUGACUUUGGGAUAACUUCAGGAAACUGGGGCUAAUACCGGAUAGGAGCUCCUGCUGCAUGGUGGGGGUUGGAAAGUUUCGGCGGUUGGGGAUGGACUCGCGGCUUAUCAGCUUGUUGGUGGGGUAGUGGCUUACCAAGGCUUUGACGGGUAGCCGGCCUGAGAGGGUGACCGGCCACAUUGGGACUGAGAUACGGCCCAGACUCCUACGGGAGGCAGCAGUGGGGAAUAUGGCACAAUGGGCGGAAGCCUGAUGCAGCAACGCCGCGUGCGGGAUGACGGCCUUCGGGUUGUAAACCGCUUUCGCCUGUGACGAAGCGUGAGUGACGGUAAUGGGAAAAGAAGCACCGGCUAACUACGU